GUGACGAUCUCUUGGGCGGAACCAAAAGUCGGGAAACUUUGGUUCCGCCCGGAUGUUUCCGCCCAGACCGAAGAACGGAAACACCGGACAUCCGGCAGAUUCGCGGAGGCUGUAAUCAGCCGAUUGGGCACAGCUGUGCCUAGUUGAAGAGAUCGCUGGGCAAUUGGAUGACUGAAGUACAGAGAGGAGUAUAUAAAGCACAGUUAGAUCACAGUUCGGGAGUUCGGGCACGAGAGGGGGAUUGACACGGGGAGAGCUCCUCUGCUUAGGGCAGGAGAGGUAACUACGUACCUUUUGAAGAGCCCGCAGGCUCUGUUGAUCCGGGCUGCGCUUGAAGCGCGCGGAAAGAAGACAGGAGCUGCCUGGGGUGAAAGAAAGGCGAUACGUGAGUGGAGAAAAGGAGCACCCCGAAGAGAGCAUUGUGCUGUCAAGCCUGUGCUUAGUGUGUGCUGGGAAACGGAGCUGUGCUCAUUUUUGGACGUGGUGGCUGUCUGUGUUUCUCUCUCUCUCUCUCGUUGCAGUCUUUAUUGUGGACCUGCUGGAGUAGACAGGAAAGUCCUAUGGGUAAGAAGGAACUUUGUUCUAACCAAUACUGAAGGAGUAAAGCAGGAAGAAAAUUGACCGUCUGGUACAACGUAAAUAAAGGCUAUCCGCCGUGAGUAUACCCUUUUUGUGUGGAGUAACUGGCAAAAAUUAACUUGUGUAACCAUUGGAAACCUCCAGGAGAAGGAGGGCGGCCCUACCCCUACAAGAGUGUGGUGGGCGAGCCGUUAGAAGUACAAAUUCAAGCAGCCACCGCAACGAGACUUAUUGUGGUCGUAUUUCCCAUCGCCUUACCGUAGCCCAAGCGCAGUGGAGGACACCGGGCGCUUCCCUUGUUGUGGUGCACUUAUAGUGUGGUGAGUGAGACUGUGUAAUAAAUCUUUUCACGUUGGAGUGGUACUGUGUAUUUGCUGCGGGUUGCUGUGUGUCUUGUAGACGAAGCCCCGCAUCAUCCAUUUUCUUCCACUGGGCAGAGGACGGAGAGGCUAACGACCUCAGAAACUACUGUUACCAUAUGCAGUGUGCUGUUUGGAGUACGAAGGGACGCAGACUAAGAGCUGCCCGUGACCGUGAGUAAAUAUUGGAAAUAUUCGUGGUGUAAAUUUACCUGUGUCUGUUUUGUCGCAGAGUCAGAGGCGAAAGGGUCCGCCGCCCCCGCGGUCUCUACAAAGGGGCGCCCCUGUCCAGGAUUCGAUCGGCCCACGGGCAUUGGAGAUAGGGCAGCGCUCGACCCGGUGAGGUGGUGUGUGACCUUCGCCCCUCUGCUGACUUACAGAGAAGAACCAUACUUACCCAGAAAGCUGUAAACAGCAGAGCCGCGGCCACCGGUGGAGAGAGAGCAGAACGAGAGUGAAUAAUAGAAGAACAAACUGUGAACGUGAUACCUACCCAGAAAGCUGUAAACAGCAGAGCCGUGGCCUCCUGUGGAGAGAACGGAAAACGAGAAGGAACAUGAGGAGAAUGGACUGUGUGAAGAUAUAGUGGUGGUGGAGGAGAGCCUAGAGUGGCCAUUGUUUUAAGUCCCCCGUUUUCCCCUUCCCUAUUUAAUAUUUUUAAGUAAUUUAAUAAAGGAUAUUUUAAUCUUAUGCUUACCUUGUGUGUCUGGUCAUUGGGGUGGCUUUGGGAAUCUCCUCGAGGUGGAGAAAGGGGCGUGACCUUAUUUACAUCUGGGUCCACCCCUACCUGUGACAGAUUUGGCGUAGUCGGCAGGGCACCUCGGGUUGAGACCAAGGUCCCCCAAUGGCCUACCACGUUUUUUUUAAAAAGAAAAACUCCCAUCAACACCCUAUCAGUCCCUAAACAACGCGUUCUCGGGACGAGAACGGAUUGGCGGGGGAGGAUGUCACAAGGUGACGAUCUCUUGGGCGGAACCAAAAGUCGGGAAACUUUGGUUCCGCCCGGAUGUUUCCGCCCAGACCGAAGAACGGAAACACCGGACAUCCGGCAGAUUCGCGGAGGCUGUAAUCAGCCGAUUGGGCACAGCUGUGCCUAGUUGAAGAGAUCGCUGGGCAAUUGGAUGACUGAAGUACAGAGAGGAGUAUAUAAAGCACAGUUAGAUCACAGUUCGGGAGUUCGGGCACGAGAGGGGGAUUGACACGGGGAGAGCUCCUCUGCUUAGGGCAGGAGAGGUAACUACGUACCUUUUGAAGAGCCCGCAGGCUCUGUUGAUCCGGGCUGCGCUUGAAGCGCGCGGAAAGAAGACAGGAGCUGCCUGGGGUGAAAGAAAGGCGAUACGUGAGUGGAGAAAAGGAGCACCCCGAAGAGAGCAUUGUGCUGUCAAGCCUGUGCUUAGUGUGUGCUGGGAAACGGAGCUGUGCUCAUUUUUGGACGUGGUGGCUGUCUGUGUUUCUCUCUCUCUCUCUCGUUGCAGUCUUUAUUGUGGACCUGCUGGAGUAGACAGGAAAGUCCUAUGGGUAAGAAGGAACUUUGUUCUAACCAAUACUGAAGGAGUAAAGCAGGAAGAAAAUUGACCGUCUGGUACAACGUAAAUAAAGGCUAUCCGCCGUGAGUAUACCCUUUUUGUGUGGAGUAACUGGCAAAAAUUAACUUGUGUAACCAUUGGAAACCUCCAGGAGAAGGAGGGCGGCCCUACCCCUACAAGAGUGUGGUGGGCGAGCCGUUAGAAGUACAAAUUCAAGCAGCCACCGCAACGAGACUUAUUGUGGUCGUAUUUCCCAUCGCCUUACCGUAGCCCAAGCGCAGUGGAGGACACCGGGCGCUUCCCUUGUUGUGGUGCACUUAUAGUGUGGUGAGUGAGACUGUGUAAUAAAUCUUUUCACGUUGGAGUGGUACUGUGUAUUUGCUGCGGGUUGCUGUGUGUCUUGUAGACGAAGCCCCGCAUCAUCCAUUUUCUUCCACUGGGCAGAGGACGGAGAGGCUAACGACCUCAGAAACUACUGUUACCAUAUGCAGUGUGCUGUUUGGAGUACGAAGGGACGCAGACUAAGAGCUGCCCGUGACCGUGAGUAAAUAUUGGAAAUAUUCGUGGUGUAAAUUUACCUGUGUCUGUUUUGUCGCAGAGUCAGAGGCGAAAGGGUCCGCCGCCCCCGCGGUCUCUACAAAGGGGCGCCCCUGUCCAGGAUUCGAUCGGCCCACGGGCAUUGGAGAUAGGGCAGCGCUCGACCCGGUGAGGUGGUGUGUGACCUUCGCCCCUCUGCUGACUUACAGAGAAGAACCAUACUUACCCAGAAAGCUGUAAACAGCAGAGCCGCGGCCACCGGUGGAGAGAGAGCAGAACGAGAGUGAAUAAUAGAAGAACAAACUGUGAACGUGAUACCUACCCAGAAAGCUGUAAACAGCAGAGCCGGUGAGAAAUACUCGAAGUCUCAGUAACAGUGUCUUUGUGUCCUAGCGGCCACCUGUGGAGAGAGAGCAGAACGAGAGUGAAUAAUCGAAGAACAAACUGUGAACGUGAUACCUACCCAGAAAGCUGUAAACAGCAGAGGAGGCGAGAAAUACUCGGAGUCUCAGUAACAGUGUCUUUGUGUCCUAGUGGCCUCCUGUGGAGAGAACGGAAAACGAGAAGGAACAUGAGGAGAAUGGACUGUGUGAAGAUAUAGUGGUGGUGGAGGAGAGCCUAGAGUGGCCAUUGUUUUAAGUCCCCCGUUUUCCCCUUCCCUAUUUAAUAUUUUUAAGUAAUUUAAUAAAGGAUAUUUUAAUCUUA
Long non-coding RNA from Paramisgurnus dabryanus, 3706 nucleotides. RefSeq lists it as uncharacterized. NCBI's taxonomy places the organism in Eukaryota, Metazoa, Chordata, Actinopteri, Cypriniformes, Cobitidae. The record is from RefSeq and is a predicted model, not a curated record.